Molecule: long non-coding RNA, 876 nt
Filed under: Sus scrofa (pig)
Lineage: Eukaryota; Metazoa; Chordata; Mammalia; Artiodactyla; Suidae
Description: lncRNA (ENSSSCG00050057487.1)
Source: RNAcentral
CUCCUCCCUGAAGAUGGCCGCGCAGGCCAGGGCUCCGGCACCCGGCUGCGGACCAGAUCCCCUGGGCUGCACCCGGCCUUGCGCCCCUGGUCCGCGCUCGCAGGCUCGGAAACGGGCGGUCCUCCCGAGGCUGAAAGGGAAAAAAGGAAAAUGAAGUCCUAUUAAUAUGUUUAUGAUAGGAAGAAUAAUUAGAAAAGUAGAAUAAAAAAACUGAAGCAUGGUGAAAUCACAGUGUGUGAAUAUAUGCAAAGGAUACUCAAAGGUCAAGAAAAGUUCAAGAAUUGUCUCUGCAUGAUAGUUCCCACAGGAAGCUACCUGAUACUAAUGAUUUUUGAAGAGACGUAUUUUUCGGGGUUGUGCCUGCAUGAUGCAAAAGAUCCAGGGAACUCUAAGAGGUAUAUGUUUGACAUCCUUCUAUAUUUCUUACUUAGAAAUUGAUGUCCUAUACUGUUAACAAAUACUUGUUCUGUGUCCUUGUCUCCAGGGAAUUUGACUUUUGUGGCUUAUUUCCUCUAACCUACAAGCUAUUCAAUUGAGAAUUAACUUUUCAGGAAGAAGGGCCUCUAUAUUUCCUGAUUUUUUAGAAUUGAUUUCUAGUUUUAUUGCAUGAUAAUUAAGAAUGAUUUCAGAGUUCCCAUGGUGGCUCAGCGGGUUACGAAUACAUCAUCUCUGUGAAGAUGCAAGUUCAAUCCCUGGGCUUGCUCAGUGGGUUAAAUAUCCAGUGUGGCUGCAAGCUGUGGUGUAGGUUGCAGAUGCAGUUCAGAUCUGGUGUUGCUAUGGCUGUGGCAUAGGUUGGCAGCUGCAGCUCUGAUUCAACCCCUGGACUAGGAACUUCCCUGUGUCGCAGGUAUGGCUGUUAAAAAAAAGAAAAAAAAA